AACUUCUUCAAGUACAAACUCUGAAAAGUUUUAUUCUGAAAAGUACAUCAAAUCUAGAAACUGGAGUGCGCAUAUCUUUGUAACACUUCUGUGUGAAGUACAUCAAAAGACCCAAAGCAAUAACCACCUGGGAUGCUGGAAAAGCAAUGUUAACAUUAAUAACUUUAAAACAUUUUUUUUUUUUUUAGCUCCGUUUGAAAUUUAUAAAAAUCCUUUCACUUCCUCUAUUCCGAGCUGACCGGUGUUGAUGCAAUGUUUCACUCCAACAGCUCCUUUCUGCUUUUUCUCCGGUCGCUCCAAGAGCCAGUCAAAGUGCCAGAGGGGAGUGUGAUGUGAUGACAAAUGGUUAAAUCCAACAGCUGAAUUAUUGACUGGAACCAAAAUGUGAAGACAAAAUUCCUGUGGGACAGGAGUUGAGUGGAAGCUGCUCUCCACUCUAAUUGCUCCCCGCCCACUAACUCGUUUCUUUCUUGGCAGCCCCGUGUUGAGAGUUACGGAGCGCUGAUGAACUCCACAACACACUUUAAGUGUUCCAAUAAUUAAAGCCCAAAGAGAUUGUCAAGUAACGGUCUGCCCUCUCACCUGUGGAGACAGCUGGGGCCAGUGCAGACUUUGUGACUCUGGAGGGAAUAUGCAAAUGUGCAGAGAUGGAGUUUAUCAUCCAGAACUGUUCUGCUCAAUGAUGGCACAAUAAGUGACAGCAGCUGGAGUCAGGAAGGAAGAAUUUGCAAAGUAUUUUUCAAAUGAAAGUGAGAAUAAUGAGACCUGUGUCUCUGGUGGAUCUCUGCUCCAAAACCACAAUUGGAACAAGUCUGACAAGCUGGAUGGCCUUUCGGCUGAUGGUAUUGCCUCAGGUCUGUUAUUUUAUAGGCGUCCUAAGAGAAUCAGUCUCAGUUGUUUAUUAUUUAUUUAAAUAUCUAUUCUAAUGCUCUUAAAAAUACUGAUGCUGCUUAUAAAACAUGAGUCACUAGUUCAGCAUAUUUGUACAUUUUUUCUUGUGUCUGAUUUAACAUGCUUGGUGUUUUUCUUUUUGUUUUUCAUAUUACGUAACAAAUAUUUUGUUGCGAAUGAUCAAAGAGGUAAAACGAAAGAAGCCUUUAUGUUUCGUCAAGCUUUUACUAUCAAAGCUGCUGUUUUUUUGUUUUUUUUUCCUUCCAUCUGAUCUGUGCCAAUUCAUCAUUGGAGAGGACAGAUUCUAGUUUAAUUCAUCUUCAUUCAUGUUCAUAGUUCACCACCAACACAGCUCCAUUAUAAACACGCUUUUGUUUAGGUUCCUUUUUUCUUAUUUUACAGUUCUAAAAUAUGUCUCUCUUUUUAUAAUUCAUCUGUUAGUACAUUGACUAGAGCGUGUACCAACUCUCAUUGAGAUCUGUUCUAUUCUCCUCUCUUCUAUCUGCUCAUGUAACCUGCACACUGUUGAGGUUGAAUUCUCUGCUCACCUGCUUUCAUUUUCAUAUUAUAAGGCCACUAUCGUCAGAAUGAAAAAUGAGUCACUGAUUUUGACUGAAUGGUGGUUAAUUAAGUCUGUGUUUACAAUUGUAAUCGCUUUUGAAGAACUGCAAAGUCAAAGUCUGAAAAUCCUGAUGCUAAAAAAUCUUUAAUCAUGUAGACGACAUAUGUGCUGCUAUUUUUGGUGUCUUACCCUAUAUGUAUGGUCUCAGAAAGAUGUUAGAAGCAACAGAUUGCAGUAAGCUCCAGCCUCAUUUCUUUGAUCAACUCUGCUUAAUUCUUAUUUCUUGGACUGCAGCUGUGCAUCCUUUCUGAAAAAAAGUAACAAAUGUUCCUCUCAAAAGAAUGAUAAUGUACAUAUUUUCUGUGAACUGGUUGAACUGCAUCACUCUAGGC
Poecilia latipinna (sailfin molly) is the source of this 1845-nucleotide long non-coding RNA. RefSeq lists it as uncharacterized. The transcript is spliced from 2 exons. The record is from RefSeq and is a predicted model, not a curated record. NCBI's taxonomy places the organism in Eukaryota, Metazoa, Chordata, Actinopteri, Cyprinodontiformes, Poeciliidae.